UCAAUACCCGGUAGCUUGACAUUACCUUUAGAAGAAGCACCGGCUAACUCCGUGCCAGCAGCCGCGGUAAUACGGAGGCUGCGAGCGUUAAUCGGAAUUACUGGGCGUAAAGCGUGCGUAGGUGGUUCGUUAAGUCAGAUGUGAAAGCCCUGGGCUCAACCUGGGAACUGCAUUUGAAACUGGCGGACUAGAGUAUAGUAGAGGGGAGUGGAAUUUCAGGUGUAGCGGUGAAAUGCGUAGAUAUCUGAAGGAACACCAGUGGCGAAGGCGACUCCCUGGACUAAAGCUGACGCUGAGGUACGAAAGCGUGGGUAGCAAACAGGAUUAGAUACCCUGGUAGUCCACGCCGUAUACGAUGUCGACUAGCCGUUGGUCCUAUAUACAGGAUUAGUGGCGCAGCUAACGCA
This 407-nucleotide ribosomal RNA is filed under the name uncultured bacterium. RNAcentral describes it as "bacterial SSU rRNA". It matches the Rfam family "Bacterial small subunit ribosomal RNA", at positions 454 to 859 of the family's 1533-position model. The record is from RNAcentral.